UACGAAGGCCCCGAGCGUUAUCCGGAAUUACUGGGCGUAAAGGGCAGGUAGUCGGUCUAUAUAGUCUGAUGUUAAAUCUCACGGCUUAACCGUGAGGCUGCAUUAGAAACGUAUGAACUAGAGUGGGUCAGAGGCAAGCAGAACGUGCAGUGUAGGGGUGAAAUCCGUUGAUAUUGCACGGAAUACCAAAAGCGAAGGCAGCUUGCUAGGACUUAACUGACGAUGAACUGCGAAAGCGUGGGGAUCAAAAAGG
This 253-nucleotide ribosomal RNA is filed under the name uncultured bacterium. Its description in RNAcentral is "partial 16S ribosomal RNA". It matches the Rfam family "Bacterial small subunit ribosomal RNA", at positions 524 to 776 of the family's 1533-position model. The record is from RNAcentral.